Long non-coding RNA from Parus major (Great Tit), 6625 nucleotides. RefSeq lists it as uncharacterized. The record is from RefSeq and is a predicted model, not a curated record. Lineage: Eukaryota; Metazoa; Chordata; Aves; Passeriformes; Paridae. The transcript has 3 exons.
AGAAGAGGUUGUUCAUACCACGCUAUGUUUUUCAGUGGAGGACAAGGAGCCUGCUGAUGACCUGCAGGGUAAUUGCAAUAAAAAAGAAAUGCCAGCUGCAGACAAACUGGGGAAAACUCUGACUAAUGAACCUUAUCAUGUAUAUUGAGUCUGCAAGAAGAAGAAAGGAGGAUGCAUCACUGGGGGAUGGGACUCACCUUCAAAGAGGUCUCCCCCAUUCCAGCAGGGCAAGUGGGGAAGUGGCUGUGUUGCCAGCCAGGAUUAAACCAUGAUACAGGUAUAGAAGAAAUCUAUUUAAUUCCUAAUGAGAACUAAGAGCUCCUCUCUAUCUGUUGUCAAGGAUGUUGUUUCUCCUUCAACAACUAGUCCAGAAUGACGUAGUCUUUAAAGAAGAAUUCCAGCAGAGGUAUUCAAUCUGGAGUUAUUUGUCAAAUUAGUCAUGAUACUUGUUUGUAAGUAGUAACAAAUGGAAAACUUCAUGUUACAUGCUAGAAGGAAAAAUAGGCUAAAUAAUUCUUAAGCAAUGUUCAGAUGUCAGGCAGGAAAUCCUGCUCACAUGGGACUGUAUCAUGUUGCACACCUUUUUGGGGCUCUUUAACGAGAAAGGAUUUCUGUUUCUUCUUAAAUAAUUCGAAGGGUUGUAGUAGAGAGGUGAAAGGAUGCCUUUAACUCUGGUGUCUAUUGAGGGCAAAUUCAGGCAAGACUCAUAUUUCUGAGUGUUGUACAAUCUUGGCUGACUGAACUGAGUGAAUUUGGGGUGUAGCCUCACUAGGAGUGGACCACCUCAGCCUGACACAUCCCAGGGGACUUUGUGGUGUGUCCUGCAGCAACAUAGGUGAGAAAUGUCUAUGAGCCAAAUGCACCAUCCAGCCUGUGAGCAUUGCCAGGAGAUUUUGCUGAGGGGUGAGAACAGGUUUUUUGAUACCCACAACAGCAGAUAAGAAAAAGAGUGAUACACAAGAGCACCCAUAUGUUAUGUCACAUGAGAGCAGAAAGGGUUCUUUACACGUCUCUACUGGAAGAUGGAGCUGGGUCUGAAAGCAAAAGUUGUCAGGGCACUGAGCUAACCAAACAUUUCUGGGGCUGGGUAGGGUAUGUGUGCUGUGACUGGCAAGCGUGGCCCUGCAGGGCUGCUGCCAAGCCCAACAAGCCAAAGGACAGUCUGUGGCUCUUGGAGCUUUGCUGUAUCUCCAGGAGUCAAAUCCUCUAGGGGUGUCAGCAGCACCUGGAAGUAUAUGUCACAGAGAUUUUUUGUGUUGGUUUGGUUUGGAGAAGCCAUCCCAGCCACUACUGCUGCUGUGUGCCCCAAUGCCCGUCCUGCCUUUGGGCAAGGAACUCAAGCCAGAGACGGUAGGGCAGCCAAGCAUGUCAAGCACAUCAAGGAGGAGUGGGGAGAAAAGGCAAAUGGGAGCUUAAUUUUUCAGUCCAGCUGUGAGCUGGUGGAGACAGGAAACUUAUUCCUUUCCCCUGUGAUGGUGUAUAUGGAUUUGAUACUAGGUAGGAACCUGACUUUCCCCUUGAUUACCACCAGACUGGUGAUGCCAGCACACUCCUGACAAUUUGGGCAGAAGUUUGGUGUCCCAAACUGCAGAACAGCUGGGUUUUAGCUGAGAGUUGGGUGAGUGUCACAUUAGCCUGGUGUUUUGGGGAUCCUUGUAAGAGGGUGGGCCCUGUCAGGUAGACCAGGCACUGUAUCACCCAGUUCCAGAUCCUGUGCUCUCAGAAGAACAUUAGGAAAAAACAAACUGCUGUAAGCACUUCUGAGUUCCUGAGCUGAACUCAUUGCUGCCAGGGGAUGAUAAGCAUGCUGAGGAUAAGCUUAAAGAGCCAGGACCUUCAAGACAUUAACAAACAUCUCCUCAGCUUAGUCAAGAAAGUAUAUUAUCAGCACAACCUCUGCUGCCUCUGUUAAGACUGAUUCAGUUACAGACAUCUAUAAUAUAAAUUUCUAAAUCUGAAUUAUCCUUUUAGAGUCCCUUUAGAGCAAUUUGAAAGAAAUAUGCACUUUUAAGGAGUGGUUAAUUUCUCUCCAAAGGAGUCAAACAAAUGGAUGACAGAGAUUUGCAUUCAAAGAGGAAGGACCCUUAAUUGAUUACCUUAUAUCUGUAUAUGUUUUGGUUCUUUUUCUGACUUCCUGUGCUGAGCAUAAAUGCUUUGUUAACACUGAGGGUCAUGGAAUCCACGAAGAAUCCUGAAGCAGUUGCUCAAUUUAAACAGAGCUGUUUAACUAAAGACCCCUCAAUGUGUUCUAGCAAAGCACCAUGUGAAUAUCUCUGAUUUUCUGUAAAGCAAUGUGAUUACUCAGUGCAAGCCUGGAUAAAGGCUGAAAAUGCAAGAUCAAAUGCCCAUCACUGACAUCACAGUCAGCCAGACAGCCCAAAGGAACUUUUCACUUCAAACGUAGAGUUCUUACAGCCUGUUUCCAUAGAUGUGUGAAGGAAGUGGCAUUCCUGCUUUGCCCAUGGUUGUAGUCACUUGACAAGGGUCAGUUCUGGAAGCCAUUUAACACCACGGCAAAAUCACAUUCCUCAUGUCUCCUUAGAUCUCUGCUGUGCAUCCUAGAAAGCCAGUCCCUUGAUCAGAUUUAGUGACUAACUAUAUUCCCUCCUUCCCUUCCUCCCUUUUCUUUCCUUCCUCCUUCCCUCUUUCCCCCUUUCCCACUUUCCUCCUUUCUUCUCUCCCACCUCUGUUUCUUCUCUUCCCACCUGCCUGUCUCUGUGUAACCCAAAGAAUUUAAAACAACAUAUUGAUUUUUUCAUAACAAAUAAAUAAAGGAUGCUUCUGGUUCUUUCCCUGUGCUUCUGUGCAGUAUCUAUGUCAUUCAUCCCUGCUGUGUGGCUUCUGUUUUUCCUUAAGGAAACAAGUUAUGUGUCUAUGCAGCAACCACUGCAUCCAUCUUCACAAUUUUUAUUGAAAUAAAGCACAUUUUAACAUAGCAACAACCUUAGCGUAGAAGCAACCCUAUGACAAUAUUUUUUUUAGGUAAAAGAGCACAUUCUAACUUCUAAACAUUGGUAACAUAAAAAGAAACAGAGAAAGUACAUAUCUAUUCCCCAAGAGGAUAUUUAGAAGAAUGAUAUAUGAGUAGCAAUGCAGGUACAAAUAAUGUGCAGAAAAGAAUGGAGACAAAGUAAAAAAAAAAAAUAAAAAAUUGUUUGAAUGGCAAAGAGCUCUUACUACAGUGCUAUUUUUCUUGCUUGAAGUAGUUUAUACUGAGUUGAUGUUUCUUCCCACUUCAUAGGAUGCAUGGACUACAGAAAUUACUUUAUAAGGGAACUCCACUCUCUUCACGCCAUCAUCAGACCUAUAAAAAUAUUGGGCAGAACAACUUUGCUCAGUUCACGUUGAAGCAUCGUACUGAGAUUCUGAAGGUGUAGGUUCUCUCCCUGCCUCACCAUCAGUCCAGUGCAUCCCCACUUCACAGUAUCUGUGCUGCAUUUUCCCAUCUGUAGACUGGGGAUAACAAAAUGACCAGUUUUCUGCAAAAGUAAUAAAAAUAAAUACAUUUUUUAAGCUGGCAAAGACCCUAUGAAAUUACAUAUGUUGUAUUUUGGUGUUAAAAAAAAAAAAAAGAAAAAAGAAAAAAGGAAAAAAGAAAAAGAAAAAAAAAAGAAAAAAGAAAAAAGAAAAAAAGGAAAGUAAUGCAGAUUAUAACAGCUAAUGGAAGCAAAUUAUUUCUAGGACCAAAAUAUAUCUUUGUGAGAAGACUGAAGAGUCCACAUUUACAGUUUUUUGAAAGACACAAGUUUGCAUGUGGAUGGUGCUUGAAUUUUGACUUUUGACUUACAAAAGACUUUAGCAUUUUCAGUAAUUCAGGAAGUGAAUCAAGUAUAAAGGUGUCAGAGUGAAAAUUUCAUAGGGGAAGUGACACAGAGGUCAUUAGUCACACCAAAAAUAAUCAAGCCAAAAUUCUUGAAAUCAAGUUUUUUCCUGCAGAAAAGAAAAUGUACAAGGACUAAUGUCUGAAUUUUUGAGCAGAGAUGUUUUUGGUUAAGUUGCCUUCCCAAAAUUUGGACAGAUUUGGUCAAAAUUAGAAUUGAACUUGAUUUCCAGCUCAGAAUUUCCAGAUACUCUCAAGCAGACACAUACAGAAAUAAGCUAAUUUGUUCCUGUAGCUCCAUUUUGCAACCUAGUGUGCAGCUCAACACACAACCACAAAAAAGAGCUUUCAUUCUUCUGAAAAUAUGCCACUGGACAAUUUACAUGGCAACAAAUUAACUUCACUCUUCAUCUUCAAAGCACUCAUCAAGCCUUCGCUGCUAGUCCACUUAUAUUUGUGACAACUUCCUACUGUAGGCAAAAUUGUUCCUCUCAGUUUAUUUGUGUCACAAACUGGUCUCUGUGAGGUGGGAUUGUGCUGUUAGAAAAUAUCAAAUACCCAGAGUGUACCAGCAAAGAUGGACCUUACUUGGUAGCUUAAGAUGCUUUUACUUGUUCAAAUAACCCUGGUGCAAGGCUCACCUGACUUUCUAUCUCUGGGUAAAUGUAGGGAGUAAAACUGCUGCUUUGUAAGUCUCCCCAAGUUACUUGUUCACCAAAGUGCUGAGCUUUCUAACCUCUGUUGGCUGGAGACUGUAGUCAGAGUUAAAAUUGCUUAAGCAAUUGUAAUCUUGAUUAAUAUUUGAAAUGAGUGCAUCUGCCUGGCUUCCACCUGACCUGGCACUGAGAGCUGCGUGGGCUCUGGCCAUUGAACUGGGCCGAGAGAAGUGAGCCAGCUCCAACUGGAAGUUGGUGGGGUGGAGUACACUGGAAACUGCUUAAAGAGAAAAUGAUUCUUUAAUGGGAAAAGUGUGAUUUUUCCAAGUAAUUUGACCCGAGUGGAAACAAAGCUUGUCAGAGACUGUAUUACGUGAAAAUGUUUGCAGAAUGAUGUCAGUGUGUUAGCACUGUUAGCAGACAGUCGGAGCUUUAUUCACAAAAAGGGCACAUUUUCACUGCAUGUAGUGAAUUCAUAAAUGAGACUUUCUGUGCACAAGUGAGCCCCAUGAAAAUACAGCCCUUCAAUUUUGGGGAAAAAGACAUUUUUUUGCGUAGAUGGGCCAAAUUAUUUUGUGACAGUCUGAAUGCAGGUUAUCAAAGGGCUUCCCAAGGCUUUUUCUUGGAUAUGAACCCCUCUGAGCAAAGGUACAGGGAGAAGAUUGGAGCACAGGCUCAAAGGCACUACCCAAGGAUCAGGUGCAGCCCACUGCUCUCAUCACAGUGGCUCAGGUCACAGAUCCCCCUAUCUCUGCCUCCUGUGUCCUUGGCACUUCUUUAGGGAAAUGUGUAAGAAGCAAGGAAUGUAUGAAGUGAUUCGUUCUCAGAUAUACUGCUGUGCCUCUGACAGUCUCCACAGCAACCACGUCACACAAUCUGCUCCAUAAGACAAUUGGAAAAAGAUGGUUUGUUUGGGUGUUACCAGACCUUCCAGCUCAGUGACAUUUUCUGCCAGAGAUGAUGAACUCCAACACAGUGUGGACAAGCAGCAAGCACAGGGUGAGGGAAUUGGAGGGAUGCUUUGAAGAACCUGGGAAGUCUGGAGUCAGUCUCAAGCUUGGAGGCAGGCAGCCAGCCCUCAGUAAUAUUUGGGCAACGCCCAGCCAUCCAUGCACACGUGAGUGGGAGUCUAUGAGUGCAGACCCACACAGGAUGGAACUCACAGUGCUGGGUAAGGGCAGGCACAGGCCACUUGGUCAGCUACUGUCUCUGUCACUUCUUUCAGGGCUCCUACUGUUCCUUGCCUCAAAACCAGCAGUAAGGAGCCUGUGGAGGAAUUCUUCCAGGAAAAUCUUCAGUAAAGCCUUUUAAUUUUCUGAGCUGACCAUUGCUCCUCCCUUUGGGAAUGAGGAAUGAAUAUUGCCUGUAUCAUUUUCAGCUUGCUGCCAUCAGUUUCUGUGGAAUAAAAUAAUCCCCUUUCCCCUCUGCUCCAACUUUUCUGAAAAGAAAUGAUAUAUAAUCUGCAGGUGGUCUGUGGGAUGGUCCCUUGCCGGUGAUUUCAUUUUUUGUUGCGGUGCAAUAUAUUGCUAUUGUUAUUUGCACAUCUUCAGUAGUAACAUGCUAGGGAAAUACGGAUAUUUUUAUUAGAACAGGCUGAAGCAUCUUAGCAUUUGGGAAUGAUUUAGCUUUAUGGUACUUGCUGUACCACAGGUUCAUCGUACACAUGUGCAAGCACAUCUCUAACAGAAGGUAAAGCAAACUUCUCCAGCAUCAUUUCCUAUGGUGUCCCAUACAGGUUCCCAUCCCGAGCUGUUCACUGGUGUCUGAAGCCUGAUGCAGUAGUGCAUCAAGUGAUGUGACUAACAGCUGCCAUGAGUUGUGUUGUAAAGGAAAGUGUGUGUAGCAGAUUUAAAUCCCUCCUUAAUGCACAUGUAUUUCAUUUAAAAGUCUGACAAAAAAAAAAAAAUCAGCGUGUUCCUACCCUCACUGCUUAAUUAGUUCUUAUUGUACUCAUAACCCAUUUCCACUUCAUUAUUCAUAACUGUCAGUUCACUUUUUUUCUUUCUUUCUUUAAUUAAAAUUGUUUAAGAGAAAUCAGAGCUAGGCAAGGGUGCCUGACUUGCAGGCUUGGGGACCAAAUUCUUACUGCAUAGGUCAAGUGCAGUAUAGGCAGCUGCAGUGAAAGCUGAUCUCUAAUAAUCUGCCACAG